GAAAGAACCAAAAAAUAAAUAAGAAGAACCGAAGAGUUAGGUCUUACUUUUGCAACAUGUUAUUAAUUUUCAAUGAAUUAAGAAUAAUCGAAUGCAUAUAUUCGGCCGGAAGCUGAUCAAUUCAGCUUCUUUUUCUUUUGUUGAUUUCUAAUCAGCAAUCCAAAUGCGAUUGGAUGCCUAAAGCAAAGAGCAAAGAGUUGAUCCAUUUCUCCAAAAGUCUUCUAUAGUACAGUUACCGAGGUAAUUUCCCUGUUCCCAUUCUCAUUCCUUGUCAGCCCCAUGUGUUACGAUCCAUAGUAUCCCACACUGAAAGUGAUUUCAAUAUGGGGGUAUAUAUGGACUUAGACUCUACUACCUCAAUAGCUACCUUUUGGGGUGUGGUAUGGCAUCAAAGCCGGCUGUAUCUUGUGAGACUUAACGCUCGGAGUGGUGGUGUCUUAGACUUAUUGUGUAAGAACAGAUAGUCCAAUGUGUAACGUGACUAUGACCAACGCUCGCUUAAUUUGCCUAGUUUUAUAUUAUUAGUUUAUUAGAGUUGUAUUAGGUUGUAAUAAUUGAGUGAUUGAGUUCCUGUUUUACAGUGCAAUAGAACGAUAAAUAGAAUGAGCCUGUAAUGUUUGUCUGCUCUGGUUUGGUUCUUGGCCUUCUAGGUGUAUGUCUUUUUGUCUGAGUGAGGUUAGCUGCUAGUUUCUACUCUUUUUGGUAGUGUUUUUUAGCCUGGCUUUGCAUGCGGCUGUCUGUGCAUGUGUUGAUGUUUUUUCCUCCCUAUUUUAAUUAAAUUUC
This 783-nucleotide unclassified non-coding RNA is filed under the name Hevea brasiliensis (rubber tree). Lineage: Eukaryota; Viridiplantae; Streptophyta; Magnoliopsida; Malpighiales; Euphorbiaceae. The record is from RNAcentral.